Cynara cardunculus var. scolymus (artichoke) is the source of this 1181-nucleotide long non-coding RNA. RefSeq lists it as uncharacterized. The record is from RefSeq and is a predicted model, not a curated record. Lineage: Eukaryota; Viridiplantae; Streptophyta; Magnoliopsida; Asterales; Asteraceae. The transcript has 3 exons.
UUAUUCGCUCAAUCUCUGUAUGAAGUUUAAAUCGGACAUCCUUCAUUCGAUUAUCUAAAUCGCUCAGAUUUCUUGGAAAAUUGCUCACAGCUUCUUCAUCGUACAGGUUCUUUAUUUUUCUAAGUCUAAACCGCACACCUGUUGAGCGGAUUUUGUCCGAAUUCGUAUAUUGCUUGAGCGGACUUGACCGGAUUAAGACCAUAAYGGUGAGCGAUUURGUUAGUUUGUUGAGCGAUUUACARCUAGUAUUGAUCGAUUUAGACUUGUAGMUUAAUMGAUUUAGGAAUCUGUUUGAUCGAUUUAGUUGACUGCUUGAUCGAUUUAGCUGUAUGUUUGAGYGAUUUAUAGAACAGUUUGUGAGCGAUUUAGUCUUAGGCGUGAGCGAUUUAGAACAGGUUCUGAGCGAUUUUAACUCUAGUUUUGAGCGAUUAAGAAUUUGUCUUGAGCGAUAUCGGCUAGGUCUUGAGCGGAUAUUGAGCGAUUUAGUCUUUGUUUGAGCGAUUAAGACUUAGGUUUGAGUGAUUAUCACUAGUGGUUUGAGCGGUCAUCUAAAUCGCUCAAUUGGGUAGAUAAAGUUMUUACUGUGUUGCUUCCAUCUGGAUUAACCCUCAAUUUGUGCAACUUCCAUAUAAWUGGGAAGAGUAACUGAAAGGCRCAAAAUACGAAUCAUAGACUGUGUGGAUUCCACCUGACAAAGAGUUCGAGCCAUCAAUACUUCUAUUAUAUCAAGAGACCAGUCAUCUUUCUGGUGYUGCUUCAUUGCCUUAGUUACAGCAGCAAAUCCUUUCUCUUUGGCUCUUGCAACGAGAACUCAGAUGAUAUCACAUACCAGAAGUUGYCUUGUGAGCUGAUUCAAGUUUGUAGUSUCYUGUUGGCUCAGCUUUCUGCUGAAUUUCACAUACAGCAUACAGAUGCAAGCUGCAUGAUGAACGGUUAAGAGGCUGUUUCUUGACCGGAUUAAGCAUGCGAUUUACUGAGUAUCUUGUCCAGUUUAGAGUCUGUUUAGUGAUCGAUUCUUGUUCUUGUAGUAUGCUAUUUUCAGCUUAGCAUUGAGCGAUUUAUUGCAUGAGGGGUGUGAUUUAUUGCCUGAGUUAAGCAAUUUACAUCUGUUGAGCGGAUUAAGCUUAGUGCAGUGAGCAAUUUAUAAACAGUCUUGAGCAGCUUAGUCUUGUGCUGACUUG